GUCUACAGCCAUGCCACCCUGAACAAGCCCGAUCCUGUCUGAUCUCAGAAGCUAAGCAGGGGUGGGCCUGGUUAGUAUUUGGAUGGGAGACCACCGUGUCAGCUUACAAUCCCUUAUUUU
This 120-nucleotide ribosomal RNA is filed under the name Pteropus alecto (black flying fox). The record is from RNAcentral. RNAcentral also lists the same sequence under 1 other name. Lineage: Eukaryota; Metazoa; Chordata; Mammalia; Chiroptera; Pteropodidae.